GCCCCUUUGGCCUAACCGGAUAAGGCGUCUGACUUCUAAUCAGAAGAUUGCGGGUUCGAGUCCCGCAAGGGGUU
Non-coding RNA from Coemansia sp. RSA 1250, 74 nucleotides. NCBI's taxonomy places the organism in Eukaryota, Fungi, Kickxellomycota, Kickxellomycetes, Kickxellales, Kickxellaceae. The record is from the annotation of a GenBank genome assembly.